RNAcentral lists this long non-coding RNA (1529 nucleotides) under Homo sapiens (human). RNAcentral's name for it is "HSALNT0324224". The record is from RNAcentral. Lineage: Eukaryota; Metazoa; Chordata; Mammalia; Primates; Hominidae.
CAGAGCCUCAAAGAGCACCCAGCAUAACUGUGGGAGAAUAGUAAGCAUUGGACACAAAAUGGUUUAGGCAAAUAAUGAUGAACAAAAAUGGUCAGUCUGUGUUCCUGCUGACCCAGCACAGUGGGGACGCUGUGUAGGACAUGACCUUUGGGGGAAAGGACACAAGAACUCAGCGUGGGGGAUCCAGAAAAGAAGUCGCACGUAUUGAAGCCAGUAACGCCAAGCCAGUGAAUUCUCCUUGACGAGAAAGACCCACUUACUCUGCAGAAGAGAUAUAUGACAGCUGACAAUCCCUGGAGGAGAAUCUUUCUACUAAAUUGGUAAGGGAUGCUAAGCAAAUGAUGUGGACUCAGGAAACAACGCAUUUCAUGAUAUACGGUUGCCUCUCAAGGUGAAUUCGAGACCCCUCUUGAAUUACAAAGAGUUGAAAACAUUCAAGUACGGAAUAAACUAUUACUGCGAAUACGCUCAUAUGACACAAGAACAAUCUCUGAGCUUCUUUGAGGAUGUCCAGAUGACUGCUGACUGCACUAAUUGCAUCAAUCGUGUAUCCAUACAGGUUCUUUCUAUAAAAUAGUGGUCGCUAGUUAUGAGGCGUUAAGCCUUCAUGGAUAUAAACAGACUAUUCCACCUAAGUGAUCUGGCAGAAGCUUAGUUUUCUACCACAACAUCCACCGUCCUCCCUCCCUCCCUUCCUAGCUGGUCAGAAAAGCUACUCAGAAUAAAGACUACAUUUCCCAGCCAUCUUUGCAGCUAGGUUUAUCCACCUGACUAAAUUCCACCGUAACUCCAGGUUGAAGAACUUCUACUUAUAGGCAUCUAUUCAACGAAGACGAAUCCUGGAAUGGGGAUGGAAAUGAUGGCUCAUGUCUUAGCAAACUACCAAACUGAUCCGAGAGGACAGGGAAGUCAGUGUGGGCGGCUCUAAGGAGCCUCCCUCUCUACAGCUGCGGCUCAGAGGAUUACGGCGCUUCAUCCACAAGGCAACAUUGCACAAGUAGCUUUUGAACAAAAGUCAUGGAUACUAUUAAUGAUAUGUUCCCACACACAUUUAGUGUCGUCUCAAAAUUCACGCUGUCAACUGUCUCUAGGAAUCAUUUCCAUCUGAGAACAGACCACACAAAGACACAGUGAAACUCAGUUUCUGCAGAAUUUGAUUUCAUUUGAGUUACUGGGGAACAAAGCAAUUAGACAAUGAAUAAUAGCUCAAGACAGGCUGAAGCUGAAGAUUUCUGCAAAAGAAUGAAGAGGAAACGUUUUGAUCCUGAGCAGAUGUUCUCCCUAGAUUGCUUCACCUGAGGUUGAUUGACUUUUGGAAACGAGAUUUGUUCCCAGUGCUUUGUGAGUCUCUUGUUGGAAGGACUGUCUUUAAAUUAAAGCAAUUAGAGUUACUUUAUAAGAUUUACCCAAAUAUAAGAGCUGAAGAGAAUAAUUCAAAUUGAUCAGAAGAAAAUACUCAAUUACUGACAAAUGUCAAUUACAUCAAUAGCCUAGGCUGCUCUUGAACUCCUGGGCUCAAACGAUCCUCC